UCAUCGGCCCUUCUCAGGGCCAACAAUAUUCUCAUAACGUUAAAC
Non-coding RNA from Apis mellifera (honey bee), 45 nucleotides. Lineage: Eukaryota; Metazoa; Arthropoda; Insecta; Hymenoptera; Apidae. The record is from Rfam.